CAGAGAAUAGUUUUAAAUAAAAUUUUAAUUUUGGAGAUUAAAGAUAGAUGUAUAUUCUUUCUCUGA
This 66-nucleotide transfer RNA is filed under the name Hydraena gracilis. Its description in RNAcentral is "tRNA-Pro". Lineage: Eukaryota; Metazoa; Arthropoda; Insecta; Coleoptera; Hydraenidae. The record is from RNAcentral.